RNAcentral lists this ribosomal RNA (497 nucleotides) under uncultured bacterium. Its description in RNAcentral is "partial 16S ribosomal RNA". It matches the Rfam family "Bacterial small subunit ribosomal RNA", at positions 28 to 507 of the family's 1533-position model. The record is from RNAcentral.
GAUGAACGCUGGCGGCGUGCCUAAUACAUGCAAGUCGAGCGAACAGACGAGGAGCUUGCUCCUCUGACGUUAGCGGCGGACGGGUGAGUAACACGUGGAUAACCUACCUAUAAGACUGGGAUAACUUCGGGAAACCGGAGCUAAUACCGGAUAAUAUAUUGAACCGCAUGGUUCAAUAGUGAAAGACGGUUUUGCUGUCACUUAUAGAUGGAUCCGCGCCGCAUUAGCUAGUUGGUAAGGUAACGGCUUACCAAGGCAACGAUGCGUAGCCGACCUGAGAGGGUGAUCGGCCACACUGGAACUGAGACACGGUACAGACUCCUACGGGAGGCAGCAGUAGGGAAUCUUCCGCAAUGGGCGAAAGCCUGACGGAGCAACGCCGCGUGAGUGAUGAAGGUCUUCGGAUCGUAAAACUCUGUUAUUAGGGAAGAACAAAUGUGUAAGUAACUAUGCACGUCUUGAAGGUACCUAAUCAGAAAGCCACGGCUAACUACGUG